UAUAUUGGACAAUGGGCGAAAGCCUGAUCCAGCCAUGCUGUGUGUUCGACGAAGGUCUUCGGAUUGUAAAUCACUUCAAGUUGGGAGGAAGGGUUUUAGAUUAAUACUUUGUAAUUUUGUCGUUACCGACAGUAUAAGCACUGGCUAACUUCGUGCCAGCAGCCGCGGUAAUACGAAGGGUGCAAGCGUUAAUCGGAAUUACUGGGGGUAAAGGGCGCGUAGGUGGUUCGUUAAGUUGGAUGUGAAAGCCGCGGGCUCAACCUGGGGACUGCAUCCAAAACUGGCGAGCUAGAGUACGGUAGAGGGUGGUGGAAUUUCCUGUGUAGCGGUGAAAUGCGUAAAUAUAGGAAGGAACACCAGUGGCGAAGGCGACCACCUGGACUGAUACUGACACUGGGGUGCGAAAGCGUGGGGAGCGAACAGA
Molecule: ribosomal RNA, 424 nt
Filed under: uncultured bacterium
Lineage: Bacteria
Description: partial 16S ribosomal RNA
Rfam family: Bacterial small subunit ribosomal RNA
Source: RNAcentral